Molecule: ribosomal RNA, 303 nt
Filed under: uncultured bacterium
Lineage: Bacteria
Description: partial 16S ribosomal RNA
Rfam family: Bacterial small subunit ribosomal RNA
Source: RNAcentral
AGCAGUCGCCACGGUAAUACGUAGGGUGCAAGCGUUAAUCGGAAUUAUUGGGCGUAAAGCGUGCGCAGGCGGUCCGCUAAGACAGAUGUGAAAUCCCCGGGCUUAACCUGGGAACUGCAUUUGUGACUGGCGGGCUAGAGUAUGGCAGAGGGGGGUAGAAUUCCACGUGUAGCAGUGAAAUGCGUAGAGAUGUGGAGGAAUACCGAUGGCGAAGGCAGCCCCCUGGGCCAAUACUGACGCUCAUGCACGAAGCGUGGGGAGCAAACAGGAUUAGAUACCCCCGUAGUCCCUGUCUCUUAUACC